RNAcentral lists this transfer RNA (64 nucleotides) under Acheta domesticus (house cricket). Its description in RNAcentral is "tRNA-Tyr". Lineage: Eukaryota; Metazoa; Arthropoda; Insecta; Orthoptera; Gryllidae. The record is from RNAcentral.
UGAUAAAGGAAAUUAUAUUCAUGAAAAGAUUUACAAUCUAUCGCCUAUCUUCAGCCACUUUAUC